GGCGGCGUGCUAACACAUGCAAGUCGAACGGUGCUUUCGGGCAUAGUGGCGAACGGGUGAGUAACACGUGGUUUACCUACCCCAGAGAGCGGGACAACGGAUCGAAAGGUCUGCUAAUACCGCAUAAGCUCACGUUGAAUAGCGAGAUGUGAGAAAAGGCGCAAGCCGCUGUGGGAUGGGACUGCGGUCCAUCAGCUAGUUGGUGAGGUAAUGGCUCACCAAGGCGACGACGGAUAGGGGGCCUGAGAGGGUGACCCUCCACACUGGAACUGAGACACGGUCCAGACUCCUACGGGAGGCAGCAGUGAGGAAUAUUGCUCAAUGGGGGCAACCCUGAAGCAGCAACGCCGCGUGGGUGAUGAAGGCUUUCGGGUCGUAAAGCCCUUUUCUGUGUGACGAGAACGGACGGUAGCACAGGAAAUAAGUGUCGGCUAACUAC
This 439-nucleotide ribosomal RNA is filed under the name uncultured bacterium. RNAcentral describes it as "bacterial SSU rRNA". It matches the Rfam family "Bacterial small subunit ribosomal RNA", at positions 38 to 504 of the family's 1533-position model. The record is from RNAcentral.